GGGAGCCUUAAUUUAGUGUCAAGUUUGAUGUCAACUUGGCAGACACAUCCAGGGUCGGAGCUGCCUCAGCAGCACUGGAAGGAAACCCUGAGCACAGAAUUCUUUUCAUGUUCUACCUCGACAAGAAGAUAGAGGAUUCUUGAUAGGCGUGUAGGAUCUCAGGAUGUGUUCAUUUCUCUUUUGCAGUUAUCCUUUCAUUUCUCUUUUGAACUACAUGUAUUUUCUAUGCAAAGCGCUGUCCUAGAUUCAUUACAUACCCACGAUGUGUUCAUUACAAAAUUACCCUUAGAAUUCUAGGACGCAUUCUGUCGAUGUAAGAACACUGCCUAUUACAACACAUACAGCAUAUAUAAAUCUCACAAUAACAACAAAACACUAAAAUCAUAUAACAUUGCCAUCCCAAAAUAAACCAUAACUGAGUUUUCCAUUGGCUGAACGAUAUAUAAAAAAAUAGUUGGCAUCAGGCACAACAGAUUUCAAUCUGAAUCUGAUGAGUCAUGGCUUUCACUUUGCCUCACACUCCUUCUGGCUUGUGUGCUAGAUUUAGAUGGAUUCAGAGAUGAUUCACCCUCAAAAGAGAUGACUUGAGCUUUAGCCAACCUGUCCUCUAAAUCCUCUGUGCUAAACUCAUCUGUCCCGCCGAGUUCAUCAAACCCCACCACAUAAUCAUCCACUUUGGCAUUCUUUAUAAGGGCAAGGGUUGGGAGAACAACAAUCUUGAGUCUCUCAGCCAAAAAUGGACUUUUCUCAGCAUGAAUUUUCACAAAACGUGUCUCUAUGUGUUGCUUUGCCAAUAUGCUCAAGUGCUUGUCCAUCACCUGCAAAUGAACUGUAAACAUGGAUUGCACCUACUAAAUUUCCUAGUCAUUUAUUGACAGUACAAACAUCUUUUGUAAGACUAUAUUUCAUUGCAUUUUCACAUAGCUAGAAAGUUGUUCUCUAGCAUAACCUGCCACCCAGUGUCCUGUCUCCAAGAGCACACUUGCAGGGCCAAUUCUCGCGAUAGAAAUGGCAAACGACACGGUCGCUGGCUUUUACAACGGAGAAGAAGUCCUUCUCAGAGGGGAUCUCAGAGUACUCGCCAUGGCCAACGGAGAUCCAACGGCUGCGCUUCUCCGCCAUUUUCUUCAUCUGCUGUAUACGCCUCUCUCUCAGAGCCUCCAGAUCGUCGACAUCAAGACGCUCAAGUGCGGCGAUCUCUUCAUCCAGCUUGUUCUCCACGACCUUCGCUACCGUAAGUACUUGCUUCUCUAUAAUCUCUUGAACUUUAGGGUUUUCCAUGGCUGGACUAGGGAAGAUCUUACUCUCCCUCUCUUAGCAGUUCAAACUUGAAAGGAAAUGGAAAACCCAGAGAGACACAGAUUUGAUUAGAGGAGCGGAUGCGGAGGGAGGGAACUGACAGAAACGACGCCGGUUUAUUCUGAGUUGUUU
RNAcentral lists this unclassified non-coding RNA (1431 nucleotides) under Hevea brasiliensis (rubber tree). Lineage: Eukaryota; Viridiplantae; Streptophyta; Magnoliopsida; Malpighiales; Euphorbiaceae. The record is from RNAcentral.